This 94-nucleotide transfer RNA is filed under the name Roseibacillus ishigakijimensis. RNAcentral describes it as "tRNA-Sec". It matches the Rfam family "Selenocysteine transfer RNA". Lineage: Bacteria; Pseudomonadati; Verrucomicrobiota; Verrucomicrobiia; Verrucomicrobiales; Verrucomicrobiaceae. The record is from RNAcentral.
GGAGAGAAAUGCGUGCCUGGUGGCCGCCGCGGUCUUCAAAACCGUUGAGACUUCUCACGGGGUCUGGUGGGUUCGAUUCCUUCCCUCUCCGCCA